AGGGAAUCUUCCACAAUGGACGCAAGUCUGAUGGAGCAACGCCGCGUGAGUGAAGAAGGUUUUCGGAUCGUAAAGCUCUGUUGUUGGUGAAGAAGGAUAGAGGCAGUAACUGGUCUUUAUUUGACGGUAAUCAACCAGAAAGUCACGGCUAACUACGUGCCAGCAGCCGCGGUAAUACGUAGGUGGCAAGCGUUGUCCGGAUUUAUUGGGCGUAAAGCGAGCGCAGGCGGAAUGAUAAGUCUGAUGUGAAAGCCCACGGCUCAACCGUGGAACUGCAUCGGAAACUGUCAUUCUUGAGUGCAGAAGAGGAGAGUGGAACUCCAUGUGUAGCGGUGGAAUGCGUAGGUAUAUGGAAGAACACCAGUGGCGAAGGCGGCUCUCUGGUCUGCAACUGACGCUGAGGCUCGAAAGCAUGGGUAGCGAACAGGAUUAGAUACCCUGGUAGUCCAUGCCGUAAACGAUGAGCGCUAGGUGUUGGGGACUUUCCGGUCCUCAGUGCCGCAGCAAACGCAUUAAGCGCUCCGCCUGGGGAGUACGACCGCAAGGUUGAAAC
This 553-nucleotide ribosomal RNA is filed under the name uncultured bacterium. Its description in RNAcentral is "partial 16S ribosomal RNA". It matches the Rfam family "Bacterial small subunit ribosomal RNA", at positions 356 to 900 of the family's 1533-position model. The record is from RNAcentral.